RNAcentral lists this ribosomal RNA (669 nucleotides) under Triticum aestivum (bread wheat). RNAcentral describes it as "partial small subunit ribosomal RNA". Lineage: Eukaryota; Viridiplantae; Streptophyta; Magnoliopsida; Poales; Poaceae. The record is from RNAcentral.
AUGCACUUUCUUCCCCGUCUUCCACUCUUCUCCUCCUCUCUUCUUCUUCCUCCUCUCUUCCCCAUCGUCGGCCGCACACCAUUUCCCCCCGCUCACUGCUCGCCCGCCCGCGCUAUCUUCCUUGGUAGCUCGCGCUACCAUAUAAUUGGAAUUAACCGAUGCAAGUCGAAGAAGGAUUGGCCGGUGCUGCCGACUGGCAUCAAGUUCGAUCUCAUGGAUCAGGAGCUGAUCGAGCACCUUGAGCCCAAAGUGAGUGCUGACAGCGCGAGAUCUCACCCUCUCAUCGAUUUGUUCAUACCAACCAUCGACAGCGAGCACGUCAUAUGCUACACCCAUCCCGAGAAACUUCUAGGUAUCACACUGAGUGGCCUAAGCAAGCAUUUCUUCCAGCGCAAUUCCAGGGCGUUCAAAAGGGGCACAUGGACGUGUCGCAAGAUACAGUCGGAGUGCGGCAAUGCACGCGAUGUGGCACAACACUGGCAAUACCUUGCCGGUGAUGGUCAACGGCCUGUAGACGGGCAGCAAAAAGGUUCUGGUGCUGCACACCAACAAGAACUUCGAUCAGCAGAGGACCAACUGGGUGAUGCACCAAUACCACCUCGGGGACCUAGAGCAAGAGAAGGAGCGGGAGCUGGUCCUCUGCAAGAUUUUCUACCAGACGAACACUAG